Molecule: ribosomal RNA, 253 nt
Filed under: uncultured bacterium
Lineage: Bacteria
Description: partial 16S ribosomal RNA
Rfam family: Bacterial small subunit ribosomal RNA
Source: RNAcentral
GACGGAGGGUGCUAGCGUUGUUCGGAAUUACUGGGCGUAAAGGGCGCGUAGGCGGCCUGUUAAGUCGGGUGUGAAAGCCCGGGGCUCAACCCCGGAACGGCACCCGAGACUGGCGGGCUUGAGACCGAGAGAGGAGAGUGGAAUACCCAGUGUAGCGGUGAAAUUCGUAGAUAUUGGGUGGAACACCAGUGGCGAAAGCGGCUCUCUGGCUCGGUUCUGACGCUGAGGCGCGAAAGCGUGGGGAGCAAACAGG